CCAAGAUUAAGCCAUGCAUGUCUAAGUACAUUCCGAUAAAUGGAGAAACCGCGAAUGGCUCAUUACAACAGCCAUAGUUUAUUAGAUCUUACUCUUACUAGGAUACCUGUGGUAACCUAAGAGCUAAUACUUGCAAUCAAGUCCUGACUUUAUAGGAAGGACGCAUUUAUUAGAAUAAAACCAAUCGGGCUUGCCCGGAAUUUGGUGAAUCUGAAUAACUAUGCCGAUCGCACAGUCCUCGUACUGGCGACGUAUCUUUCAAAUGUCUGCCUUAUCAACUUUCGAUGGUAGUUUACACGACUACCAUGGUAAUCACGGGUAACGGAGAAUUAGGGUUCGACUCCGGAGAGGGAGCCUGAGAAACGGCUACCACAUCCAAGG
RNAcentral lists this ribosomal RNA (381 nucleotides) under Mesacanthion sp. 24L18C15. Its description in RNAcentral is "bacterial SSU rRNA". It matches the Rfam family "Eukaryotic small subunit ribosomal RNA", at positions 38 to 421 of the family's 1831-position model. Lineage: Eukaryota; Metazoa; Nematoda; Enoplea; Enoplida; Thoracostomopsidae. The record is from RNAcentral.